CGAGGGGCAGCGGGGUAGGAAGCUUGCUUUCUGCCGCCGGCGACCGGCGCACGGGUGAGUAACACGUAGCAACCUGGCCGUGGCAGAUGGAUAACCGGGAGAAAUCCCGCCUAAUACAACAUAAUGCCGGGAGGGGACAUCCCCUGCCGGCCAAAGGGGGCGACCCCGGUCACGGAUGGGCAUGCGGCGCAUUAGGUAGUUGGUGGGGCAACGGCCCACCAAGCCGACGAUGCGUAGGGGUUCUGAGAGGAAGGUCCCCCACAUUGGAACUGAGACACGGUCCAAACUCCUACGGGAGGCAGCAGUGAGGAAUAUUGGUCAAUGGCCGGAAGGCUGAACCAGCCAAGUCGCGUGAGGGAAUAAGGCCCUACGGGUCGUAAACCUCUUUUGCCAGGGAGCAAUGCCGUCCACGUGUGGACGGAAGGAGAGUACCUGGAGAAAAAGCAUCGGCUAACUCCGUGCCAGCAGCCGCGGUAAUACGGAGGAUGCGAGCGUUAUCCGGAUUUAUUGGGUUUAAAGGGUGCGUAGGCGGCCUGCCAAGUCAGCGGUAAAAUUGCGGGGCUCAACCCCGUACAGCCGUUGAAACUGCCGGGCUCGAGUGGGCGAGAAGUAUGCGGAAUGCGUGGUGUAGCGGUGAAAUGCAUAGAUAUCACGCAGAACCCCGAUUGCGAAGGCAGCAUACCGGCGCCCGACUGACGCUGAGGCACGAAAGCGUGGGUAUCGAACAGGAUUAGAUACCCUGGCAGUCCACGCAGUAAACGAUGAAUACUAAUUGUCCGGUCAGAAUGAUGACUGGGUGAUACAGCGAAAGCGUUAAGUAUUCCACCUGGGGAGUACGCCGGCAACGGUGAAACUCAAAGGAAUUGACGGG
RNAcentral lists this ribosomal RNA (871 nucleotides) under uncultured bacterium. Its description in RNAcentral is "bacterial SSU rRNA". It matches the Rfam family "Bacterial small subunit ribosomal RNA", at positions 63 to 917 of the family's 1533-position model. The record is from RNAcentral.